Small nuclear RNA from Haliotis rufescens (red abalone), 188 nucleotides. RefSeq annotates it as U2 spliceosomal RNA. NCBI's taxonomy places the organism in Eukaryota, Metazoa, Mollusca, Gastropoda, Lepetellida, Haliotidae. The transcript has a single exon. The record is from RefSeq and is a predicted model, not a curated record.
AUCGCUUUGCGGCUGAAAUGGCCAAGAUCAAAGUGUAGUAUCUGUUCUUAUCAGCUUAAUAUCUGAUACGUCCUUCAUUGUGACAUCGAUAUUAAACUGAUUUUUGGUUGUGGGCAAAGUGAGAGCUUGCUUCUCCUUGCCACGGGUUGACCUGGUAUUGCAGUACUUCCAGGACUGGCCCACUCCCC